Molecule: non-coding RNA, 3795 nt
Organism: Castor canadensis (American beaver)
Lineage: Eukaryota; Metazoa; Chordata; Mammalia; Rodentia; Castoridae
Source: RefSeq, a predicted model, not a curated record
UUCCUCCAGCAGUUGGAUCGCUCCCAUCUCACAGUACCUCACAGGUCUCUUCCCCCGAGCAGUGCACUGCUGGAGCGAGGAGCAGCUCACGAAUCAGCUGCAGGUCCCUGUUUUGAAAAGCAAAGAUACAGAGGCAGAGGAAAAGGGUGGAUUCCUCUGUGACCUGUUCUUAGAGCAAGACAAUCACCAUCUGAAUUCCAGAAGCUCUGUUCAUGUGUGGGGAUAUUUUUUCGACUGCAUGGAAUCAGAAAGAAGCAAAAGGAUGGGAAAUGCCUGCAUCCCCCUGAAAAGAAUUGCUUAUUUCUUAUGUCUCUUAUCUGCGCUUUUACUGACUGAGGGGAAGAAGCCAGCGAAGCCAAAAUGCCCUGCUGUGUGUACUUGUACCAAAGAUAAUGCUUUAUGUGAGAAUGCCAGAUCCAUUCCACGCACCGUUCCUCCUGAUGUUAUCUCAUUAUCCUUUGUGAGAUCUGGUUUUACUGAAAUCUCAGAAGGGAGUUUUUUAUUCACACCAUCGCUGCAGCUCUUGUGAGAAAUAUUUAUAUCAUGACUAUUUUUAAUAUGGCAUAUAUUUGGAUAAGCCUUCUAAAAUGAGCUCAAUAUUAAUUUUGUCAAAUGUGAUGAUAUUUCUGAAAAGAAAGAAUAUCAGUCAAGUGAGAGGUAGAUGGGUGUGCUUGCAACUUCACAUCUAUAGUGCAGGGUUGAUCCUUGCAAUGGCAAAUUUGCUAACCUGUAAUGCUGUGUACUUAAAUGGCUAUUUAUGAAGUUGUUGGACCAUUGCAAUAGGAUCCCAAUUCCAUUCCACUAUUUUACUUUCAUUUUUAACUUGAGAACUUUGGUUAUUUUGCCCUGGAGUUUUUGCAUUUGUCAAUACAGAACCCAGCAUAACAUAUGCGCUCAAGAUGUUGUCUCCUGGGAAUCUGGGGCAGCUACUCUGUAUGAUUUAGCAUGUGGGGGAAAGAAAAACCUCAGUUCUUUCUAGGUAAUUCCUUAAAAUACCAAUUCUCCAGAAACCGCUUUCUAAUCUCAUCUAAUUUAUAACUUAUUCCCUUACAGAGAGGAAAAGAAAAUAUUAAUAUAGGGUAGGGCAAAGAAUGACUCUUUGCUCUAUGUUUGGAAUUGGCCACAAGGGAAGCACGCAUUUAGUGUAUGCCUGAAAAUAUUUUAAAAAAUAAUAUUUGCUAAGGAAUCAGCUCUCUUCAUAGGCGUGAUGUAACAUACAUAAUUUUUUCUGAUGUGUAAUGUUUAGCAAUUGGAGUUCUAGUUCUUAGAGAAAUAGCAUACGGGGGUCAAGAGGUCUGAAGUAUCAGGCAACAGACUUGGGUUGGUAACUAGAAAGGUCCAAGGGAGAAUUAGUCAACUGUAAAUGCACUGAGUUUGCAGUCUUAACUCUAUAAUUAAGUUUUCUGCUUAUUUGUGUUUUGGGUUUUUUUGUUUGUUUUCUUGCUUCAUUUGGCUAUUUUGUCUGUUUAAAAUUAUGCAUACAUAGGCAAGCAGCAUGGGAUUAAAAUUGGAGAGCCCUGUAUGGAAUUGAAAGAUCACCCCAUCACUCACUAGACCAUAGAUAUGUAGUCUUGUGCAAAUUACUGAAUGUCAUCAAGCCUCAGUCUUCUUAUCUGUAAAAUGGAGGUGAUAGCACAUACUUUGAAGGGUUGUUAUCAGAGAUAAAUAAGAUUUCAUAGUUAAAAGUCUUGGUUGAUGCUUAAUUUUUAUAUAAAAGUAAAAAUCUAAGUCAUUUAAUCUAUUGUUUGGUCUAUAUGAAAUUCCAAAACUGGUUUGACUAUUUCAUUGAAUUUCUGAACUUAAUCAGGUGUUUUGACAUUAUAUAAUGAUGCUGGCUGAUGUCCUUCCCCUGGCUAAUGUCUUUGAGUGAUUAGCAAUUAAGUACGUUAUUCCUAAGGGGUUUAUUUGUUUGAUUGAUGGCCAGCAGGGUGAUUAGGAAAAUCUUAAAAUAUUAAACAAAUCUAAAAAAGAUACUCUUUAGUACAGAAAAGGGCAAAGUCUUUGACAUUGGGAUCCUUCCAUAGGAUAAGAAUUUGUUGUACCAGAGAAAGUGAUCAAGUAUCCUUAUAUUGCUCAUUGGUUAAAUAAAUAAAUGGCUCAUGUAAAAUACAUCCUUUCGAUGUGCUUAGGCACCUCCCUUCCCCUGGGAUAGUUAAAUAGAUCAGUCCUUAAAAUUUGAGAAGUCUCAGUCACACAACUGCUCAUAUUCUGACACUAGGUGGAUGUCAGCUGUGACACAGAAAGCCUGGAUGGAUCAGCCUAAUCAGCUAUCUCAUCUCCACCUUGUUUUUGUUGGCUAGACCUAGCUACGACAAGCACAGAUGCCAGGCAGUGUUAUAGAAAUAGUUACCGGCUGCUGCGCGGUAAUGUGAUUACAUGUAUUUAGAAUCACAGAGGGAAGCCAAAGGACUGGUUUUAAAUAGCCCUCGCCAAGUAUGUGCCAUGCCCCUCUGUCCCAUGCUCCAAGUUCCUAUGGAACAUUCCAGCCCUUAUUUCUAAAAGCAGUUCAAGUUUCAGAACCAACAAAAGGGCGAAGUAAUCUUGCCCCAAACGUCCUUGGUUAACUCACUCUGGCCAACUUCACCAUAGUAGAUUUUUGCCAUGUUGGUCUUAGGCAAAUCUGUCAGGGGUCAAAGUUUAUCUCUAAUCACCAGGACCCUGUCCUUAAGGAUUUCAUUCUUCAUCUGUCAUGCUCAAUAUUCUCAGCUUCCUCCUGUCCUCAAGAAAAGGUCAAAUAAGAUCAUUUUCACUCAGUUGGAAAAAAUAAUAAGGCUCUGAAUAUGACCUAUUCCAUGAUAAUGACAAUUGUGGGAAUGCAUGGAUCACGACAGAAAGGGUUUUCUGAGGGACAGGACUGUCCGGUGCCCUGAAAAUCCCAUGUGGGCUGCCAAUCUGCCAUUGGAACAUGAAGGCCUAGAUCCCAAGCCAUGGCUUAGGGUUGGCAAUUAAUUCUAAUGUCAUGUGUGACCAUGGAUCACCAAACAGGCCCAUCCUAUCCUGUGCAGUCGUAAAUUUCAGAAUCAAUUCUGCUUGAUCCAUGUUGAAGGCAGCUGGUUUCUUACUCUGUUGUUGGAAAGGAAAAAGAAAUAUCCCAUUUCUGUUGACCUACAACAAUCUGAUAAUGUUAUUAUGGCCCCAAACACUUCUUCAGAGUUUCUGUAGAAGGGAUAAUAAGAAGUACUUUUUGAAAUGUCAACCUGAGAUACUGAGGAAAAUGGAGACAAUACCUUGAGUCACAUGCAGUGUUUAGGAAAAGAUUCUGGUAGGCCAUGGCUGGCAGUUUGUGUUGGAAAAUUAGAAAAAUAAAACUCACACUCUGUAGAGAAGAAAGACUAAAAUGAUCCAAUAAAAAUUCAUCAGAUUAGUUGUACAAAACAUUUUAAAAACUCAUUUAUAGUUUUAAAUACCACCAAAAAAAAAAAAAAACCCUUUUCCCAAGCAAAUGCAAUUUUAUUCAUGUUUUCCACAGGGCCAGUUUUGAAACAUAACCGAGGAGAAUGGUUAUGCAUUCCAGUUUGUGCUUAGUGAUAGAGAGUGAGUGGUACUUUUAGUGAAUGCAAUUUAGAGAAAUGUGUUUUCACACAUACAGCCCUGUUCCUUCUCAACUCCAGACUGAAAUCCUCAGUGAUAGAGCUCAUGACAGAAGCAAGAUUCAAAUUUUAGAGGAUAAAAUGUGGCCACAUUGCCAUUCGUUUAUAGCAUUUUAAUAAACAAAGCCUCCUGAAACUCCUAGGAUAGUUCUAUAUGCAGGGAGUAAAUUCUAUAUGCAGGGUUAGUUUUAGUAUUAUACUCAAA